RNA transcript from Hyla sarda, 4134 nucleotides. It is a transcript of the gene named PHD finger protein 13, with no coding region annotated. NCBI's taxonomy places the organism in Eukaryota, Metazoa, Chordata, Amphibia, Anura, Hylidae. The record is from RefSeq and is a predicted model, not a curated record.
GAUGGAACACCGAACUACAGGCGAAGGAGGACCGUGGAGGAUUUCAACAAGUUCUGUACGUUUGUGCUGGCGUAUGCGGGAUACAUACCGUACCCUGAAGAGGAGACCCCUCUUAGAUCCAGCUCCAGUCCACCAAACAGCACAGGAAGCACCGUAGACAGCGAUAGUUGGGAUUCCAGAUUCCAGGACGUCUCCUCUACCGAGGCUUUGACGAUCAAAAAGCGGAAAAGCUUUGAGCUGAAACACGAGCGCUCCUACCCCUCCAUGCUGAAGCGCUCUAAGCUCAGCAGCUUCCUCCUGGACUGCAAGAAACUGGACAAAAUAAAGAAAAAGAAGAAGUUUAAGAAAAAGGAGCAGCAGGCUGUGAAGGAGGAAGAGUACUUGAAAACCAUAAUAAAAAUAGAGCCGGAGGACUCGUCACCUGAGGAGAACGUGCCCAUGCCUAUGCCCGCCCCCAUCCUGGACCACCCGCUGGAUCUCAAAAUGUCUCCAAAGCACGAGACCCCAGACCCCAUAUUCGAGAGCUGUAACAACAGUAUGGACAGCAGCUCCGUCACCAUGAACUACGACGACAUGGAGGAAAUGAAGAUCGAGUACUCAGAGGUGAACCUGGGGAAGCGGACGGUCAUACGGCAGGGAAAGCAGGUGGUCUUCCGGGAUGAAGACAGCACAGGGAACGACGAGGACAUCAUGGUGGACUCAGAUGAUGAAUCCUGGCAUCUCGUCACCUGCUUCUGCAUGAAACCGUUCGCUGGCCGGCCGAUGAUCGAGUGCAACGAAUGCAACACCUGGAUCCACCUGUCCUGUGCCAAAAUCCGAAAGUCCAACGUUCCGGAAAUCUACGUUUGCCAAAAGUGCCGAGACACCAAAUUCGAUAUCCGACGAUCAAACCGCUCACGAAUGGGCUGUAGGAAGCUGUUUUUGGACUGAAAUAACAAAAAAAAAACGGGGACACUGAGCAGCCGCACGCAGGACUACACCACUGUGCACAGACAACCAAUAGCGUUAAAACAAAUGUUUGUUUUUCUGUGGACGCGCACAUUUACAGACUUUACAACUUACAAAUUUCAAUCUUGGUCGCCCAGUCAGGGUCUGUUUCACGUCGGCCAUGUUUAUCCGCAUGAAACCGCACUGACCGGAGUUCAGUUCCCAUGAAAACAUGGCAGCACUGGGGUUAAAUGUAGCAAUGUUAGGGGAGGUCUUCCCCUCAAGACCAAAAUGAGGAAAAAAAAAAAAAAAAACUGGUAAAUUAAAAUUUAUUUUCUAAAUGCUGCAGUUUGACAGUAUAUAUUUUUUUCGCAGUUAUGAAAAAUUCAAUUUUUUUGGUUCUAAUUUAAUUUUUUUGUCUCCUACGUACACAAGAGAUUGUUGUAAAAGAAGUCCAAAAAUCUUUUUCAAUAAAUGUUUUUUUUUCAAUACGACCUGUAGAUUAGAAAAUGUAUUUUUAUUUUUUUUUUACGAUCAAUAUACAGUAGUUUUUUUUUUUAGAUUGUUUAUUUUUUCAUCAAAGCUGUUUUUUUUUUUUACCUGCGUGUGCGUUAAAUGUUUUUAAAAAAUAAAAGUAUAUAAAUAAUGGUUCUGACAAAAUCAAAAAAAAUCUAAAAUAAAAAUAGUAGCGGUAAUAAGAAUAAUGCACACGCACGUGAAAAAUGUUUUCAGAAUGGAAGUUUUGCGUUGCUUUAUCUACCUCUGUCCAUUAUAUUUCAGUCAUAGAAUGAGGAAAAGGUUGGACGAAAGCAGGAAAAAAUUGAAUAAACCUUUUGAUUUUGUGGCGCCAUGUUAGGAUAUCGCUUGCCGUCCACCAUUUUAUCCCCCCCCCCCCUCAAUUUGGCGCAUAGGAAAUGCUCCUAUCCUGUCAUACUGCCUUGAUUGUAUUAUCCACAUCUUGGGGAACACUGAUCUAAAUAGGCCUCCAGUCCUGUGGAAAGCCUAGACUCUUACCUAUAAAGAUGGCUGGUUGACGACUGGUGUUGCCCAUAGCAACCACUUGCAUUACAGGUUGUGACUGGAAAUCGGUUGCUAUGGGAAACUUCGGCUGUCAGGGCAUGAUGGGAGUUAUAGUUUUGCUACAGAGCCACAUGUUGGGGAACGCUGAUCUAAAUGGCUCCCUGGAAAACCAAACACUGCUAACUAGAGAUGGCUGGACUAUGAAUGGCGUUGCCCAUAGCAACUACUCACAUUAGAUUGUGACAGGAAAUUUGUUGCUAUGGGAACCUCUUCUUGUUGACAAUGUUGAAUCUGUCAAAAAAAGAAUGGAUGGUCCAAAGAUACCAUCGUAAACUAUGAUUUUAGUACACGGCGGCCAUUUUGUUUUGUGUGUGAUUUUAUAUGACGUGUUCAUAUUUGAGAUAUGGCCACAAAAUGGCUGCCGCCUAAUGCAAUGGAGAACCUAUUGUGGUAGUUUUAUGAAUCCAAGGAGCCAUGUUUGGUUACAAGUGACAUAUAUAGGCACCAUACCUGCUCUGAUGUUGUGGCACUACAAGUCCCAGCUUAAUGAAUGGAUAUACUAUGUUAUUUAGUGUAAAACAUAUGGGCCUCCUCCAGUCAUUACUAGGAUGUGGAACUGACAUAAUUUUUGCACAGUUUAUAUUUAGACUUUUACGAUUUUAUAUUUGGCGCGACCAAUUCGUUUCAAGGUAGUGGCGCAAUGUGGAAGGGAAGUUUUGGAAUGGUUUUUUUUUUUUUCUAAAUUGUAUUAAGUUCACUUUUUUCCCCUCCCCUUAAUAUUGUAUAGUGAAUACAUAAGGCAAUAAGCAGAACUGAUGCCAUUUGUGUUUUAAUUUUUUAAUUUGUGUCCCAUUACAUAAACGACUUGUGUACGGUUCGCAUUGAGGCCACAUUUGCAUUAUGUUUUGUGUAUCCGUUGCGGCAUACAUUAGCAAACCUUUUGUUAUUGUGAUUGCGCAGAAAAUGUCAUGUGAAUGGGGUCAAAGGAAGAAAAAUAAUAAUAAAAAAAGGAAAUAAAAUUGUUCCAGGCUGCUGCAGAACAUCUUGGGAACUCAAUUCCCUCUUUUUUUCUUUUUCUUUUCUUUUUUUUUUCUUUCUUUUUUUCACUGAACCAUUUAAACCCUUUGCUGCCAUGGUACGGGCCACCAUUUUUUUUUUCUUUACGCCAUUUCUUUCUCACUAUUAUUGAACGUGUUUCUUGAAGACUUAAUGCUCUAUAGGAAGUACAUUAUUCUAUGUGAAGAAAUUUUUUAUUUUAGUUUUGAAAAAUUUCUCCCUCACCAGAGACCAAACAGGCGGGAACUUUCCGAUUCUUCUACGCACAUCUCUGUGUAUGUUGUGUCUGCCUAAUGUGUGGAGACGGUAACGUCUCGUUUUAAUGUUUUUUUUUUUUCUUUUGUACGGAUACGGAGAGGGCUUUAUCAUCACACGUGUCUCUAAAAUUAGUCAUUAAAAAAUGUUUGCUUUUUUUUUUUUUUUUGUUAAAUUCACAAACUCAAUAACCUGUUCUAAAAAAAAAAUGGUACUAAGCCGCCAUACUUUAUCCUACCUUCGUUUGUACAAUGGCACUAUCUGAAGUUGGCGUCUUUGGCACAGUUUUUAUGGAGUUUUAUUUUUCAAUAGUGCACUUUUUAAAAUAAAUUCCUUUCAUGUUCACAAUGGAGAUUUUUUUUCGAGUCAGAAAAAAAAUUUUUUUUUUCUUAAUCAUUUUAUUUUCUACCACGAAAUUCCUUUUUUUUUUUUUUUUUUUUUUUUUAGGGGAAAAAGGGUUUAAAAAAAUACUGAUUUAAAAAGAAAAAAUGUUUUUUUCAUUUUCAAAGUGUUUUUUAAUGUUUUUUAUGUUUUUUUAUUUUAAUCCUUCCCCUCAGAGUGCACUAGUCAUGACUUGCUCUUUCGUAAUGUCUUUUUAGGGUGUUUUGGUCUUUGCAUUGUUUAAAGUUUACUCUCAGUAAUCCCGAUAUCUACAUUGGAAGUAUUUGUAUAGAUAAAUAUAUAUAUAUAUAUAGAUAUAUAUCUCAUUUUUGUAGGUGUUUAUUUUAUUUUUUCUGCCAGACUGAGAGAAACAUUGAACAAGCUUUAUAGAGCACAGACCGGGAAACAUGAUGUGAUGUACGGGACUUGUGUAUUUGCAAGGACGAUGUUUCUGUGAAACUUUGUACAUUUGUAAAUAAAGAUAUCAAUAUUUUA